UCGUGCUAGGCGGGGAGCUAGCGGUGCCCUGUACCCGCAAUCCGCUACAGCGGGGCUGAAUUCCUCUCUGCGGCCGUUGUCGCGGGUGAGUCAAGGUCUGGUAAGUGGCGUUGAGAGUCAGGUCUUGCGCAACGAGCUCCUGUGAACCCCGUCAGGUCCGGAAGGAAGCAGCGGUAAGCAGAUUGGCUCGUGUGCCGCGAGGCCACCUGGCUUGAGCUAACUGCCGGGCCAGACCAUCCCGAAGCGGUCAAGGAGAGGUGCACGG
This 265-nucleotide signal recognition particle RNA is filed under the name Candidatus Tectimicrobiota bacterium. RNAcentral describes it as "signal recognition particle sRNA large type". It matches the Rfam family "Bacterial large signal recognition particle RNA". Rfam says of the family: The signal recognition particle (SRP) is a universally conserved ribonucleoprotein involved in the co-translational targeting of proteins to membranes. Archaeal SRP consists of a 7S RNA and homologues of the eukaryotic SRP19 and SRP54 proteins. The record is from RNAcentral. Lineage: Bacteria; Pseudomonadati; Candidatus Tectimicrobiota.